This 253-nucleotide ribosomal RNA is filed under the name uncultured bacterium. RNAcentral's name for it is "partial 16S ribosomal RNA". It matches the Rfam family "Bacterial small subunit ribosomal RNA", at positions 524 to 776 of the family's 1533-position model. The record is from RNAcentral.
UACAGAAGGGGCAAGCGUUAUUCGGAAUUAUUGGGCGUAAAGGGCGCGUAGGCGGCCUGGCAAGUGGAUGGUGAAAUCCCUCGGCUUAACCGAGGAACUGCCAUCCAGACUGCUUGGCUUGAGACCGGGAGAGGUGAGUGGAAUUCCCAGUGUAGCGGUGAAAUGCGUAGAUAUCAGGAGGAACACCCGUGGCGAAAGCGGCUCUCUGGGACGGUACUGACGCUGAGACGCGAAAGCGUGGGGAGCAAACAGG